AUUCCAGCUCCAAUAGCGUAUAUUAAAGUUGUUGCAGUUAAAAAGCUCGUAGUUGAACUUCAGGCCUGGACGGGCGGUCCGCUUAACGGCGUGUCUACUGUCUGGCUGGGCCUUACCUCUUGGUGAGCCGGCGUGCCCUUUGUUGGGUGCGUCGGGGAACCAGGACUUUUACCUUGAGAAAAUUAGAGUGUUCAAAGCAGGCCUAUGCCUGAAUACAUUAGCAUGGAAUAAUAAAAUAGGACGUGCGGUUCUAUUUUGUUGGUUUCUAGAGUCGCCGUAAUGAUUAAUAGGGAUAGUUGGGGGCAUUGGUAUUGAGUCGCUAGAGGUGAAAUUCUUGGAUUGACUCAAGACCAACUAUUGCGAAAGCAUUUGCCAAGGAUGUUUUCAUUA
Molecule: ribosomal RNA, 390 nt
Filed under: Agrocybe sp.
Lineage: Eukaryota; Fungi; Basidiomycota; Agaricomycetes; Agaricales; Agrocybaceae
Description: partial small subunit ribosomal RNA
Rfam family: Eukaryotic small subunit ribosomal RNA
Source: RNAcentral